UUGAAGUGAUGGAGGAAUUUGCUAAUUAACGGAGUUGCCUGUAAUUGUCAUCCCACCAAUACAAGCAAAUACAUCAAAAAAUCUAUAUGCGGUUUACCGAGUUUACACUUAUGAGCAGGUUCGUAAUAUAAGGCCUUAUAAUGGAGAAAAGAGAACCUAUCUUUGUGAUUGCUUUCGGUCCCUUGAUGAUGAUCAAUAUUGUUGCCGAGAAGAUCUUUGUUGGAGCAUAGGAUCAGAAUUUUUGGAGCAGUGCUAUGGUCUAUAUUCAGUUCUAUGAAAAAAAAUUACAAUAAGUACUAAGAUAGGAAAAUUUAAGAGGCAAUUUCAGAAGAAAAAAAUAGCAAAAACAACUAUAGGUAAAGAUCCAAAAG
Lycium ferocissimum is the source of this 371-nucleotide long non-coding RNA. RefSeq lists it as uncharacterized. The transcript has 3 exons. NCBI's taxonomy places the organism in Eukaryota, Viridiplantae, Streptophyta, Magnoliopsida, Solanales, Solanaceae. The record is from RefSeq and is a predicted model, not a curated record.